AGGAAGAUUAAUACCCCAUAAUAUAUAGAGUGGCAUCACUUUAUAUUGAAAACUGAGGUGGAUAAAGAUGGGCACGCGCAAGAUUAGAUAGUUGGUGAGGUAACGGCUCACCAAGUCGAUGAUCUUUAGGGGGCCUGAGAGGGUGAUCCCCCACACUGGUACUGAGACACGGACCAGACUCCUACGGGAGGCAGCAGUGAGGAAUAUUGGACAAUGGGUUAGCGCCUGAUCCAGCCAUCCCGCGUGAAGGACGACGGCCCUAUGGGUUGUAAACUUCUUUUGUACAGGGAUAAACCUAUUUACGUGUAAAUAGCUGAAGGUACUUUACGAAUAAGCACCGGCUAACUCCGUGCCAGCCGCCGC
Molecule: ribosomal RNA, 363 nt
Filed under: uncultured Flavobacteriaceae bacterium
Lineage: Bacteria; Pseudomonadati; Bacteroidota; Flavobacteriia; Flavobacteriales; Flavobacteriaceae
Description: bacterial SSU rRNA
Rfam family: Bacterial small subunit ribosomal RNA
Source: RNAcentral